Molecule: ribosomal RNA, 468 nt
Filed under: uncultured bacterium
Lineage: Bacteria
Description: partial 16S ribosomal RNA
Rfam family: Bacterial small subunit ribosomal RNA
Source: RNAcentral
GACGAACGCUGGCGGCGUGCUUAACACAUGCAAGUCGAGCGGAAAGGCCCUGAUUUUGUGGUGUGCUCGUGUGGCGAAGGCGUGAGUAAAACGCGAGUAACCUGCCCUUGACUUUGGGAUAACUUCAGGAAACUGGGGCUAAUACCGGAUAGGAGCUCCUGCUGCAUGGUGGUGGUUGGAAAGUGUCGGCGGUUGGGGAUGGUCUCGCUGCUUACCAGCUUGUUAGUGGAGUAGUGGCGUACCAGGGCUUCGACGGGUAGCCGGCCUGAGAGGGUGAACGGCGACCUUGCGACUGAGAGACGGCCCAGUCUGCUACGGGAGGCAGCAGUGGGGAAUAUUGCGCAGCGGGCGGAAGUCAGAGGCAGCAAUGCCGGGUGCGUGAUGACCGCUUUCGGGUUAUAAACCGCUUUGGCCGGUGACGAACAGUGCGUGACGGUAAUGGGUAAGGAAGCACCGGCUAACUACGUG